GUAAAUGUGUUAUGCAUAACUAGUAAUUUAUGGUACUUGUUGUGUUCUUAACAAUUUCAGAUCAUCCUUGGCUAGGUUAUAUAUAUAGGUUGGCUAUGAUUAAUGUUCAAUACAACACUUAUAGGAGGAAGUGAACCUUGAACUCCUCCUCGCAAAAAUUAACAUUUCUUCUCCUUUAUAAAAAAAACAAAAAAAAAAAGAUACCUCGAUUAAAAAUGUGAAAAAAUGGUCGGCUUCAUGACAAACACUUAGAUCCACGUUCGUGCAUUACAACCUCAUCACUACUAUCUUUUAUCCCAUAUUAUUUUCUCAUUUUUUGUUUUCCUUUAAUUUUAACAUUAUCAAAAGUUUUUACAUUGGUUCAAUUUGCGUGUACAUAUUAAACAGUUCUAUUGAUAUAAACACAUAUUUAUGCAUUGCGAGAAAUUUCACUUUCCUUGGGAAAUUUUGGAGUUGGAUCAAAUUAUAAGUGUGGACAUAACGUUGAAACCAGCGUCGACAACUAAAGUUCGUAGUUAAAAAACUGCACAUAUAUAUACCACUGCUUUAAUUGGUGAUCCAUUUGGACGAAAAUAACGAUUUAUAUCCCAACAAAAUACAAUUACCAAAUUUUAUUCAUAGAAAAAUAUAGACAGAAAUAUAAUUCUUUGCCAUUCCUCUAUUAGUCUCUGUGAUUUUUCAAAAUGGAAGUCAAAAAAUAUCUUUGCUCAAAAGUCAAUUUAUGUAUACUGUAGUUCUCACUUGCCCUUAUAUAAGUCUAUUUAGAUAUUUUAUCAAAUGAGAUAAAGAAAAGAAAAAAAAAACAAUCACGACCCAUAUGAUAUGAAGCAGGCCUCUCUGAUCUCUAAUGGCACACAGAUUCAUUUUAAUAUGAAACGACACGACAGGGACUAAAAUUUUAUAUAAAUUGUUUGAUCUCAAUAAUUAGACCAUACGUUGCAAAAAGUAAAACAAAAU
This 957-nucleotide long non-coding RNA is filed under the name Capsella rubella. RNAcentral's name for it is "long non-coding RNA (CRUB_LNC003320)". The record is from RNAcentral. Lineage: Eukaryota; Viridiplantae; Streptophyta; Magnoliopsida; Brassicales; Brassicaceae.